Molecule: non-coding RNA, 598 nt
Organism: Pelobates cultripes (western spadefoot toad)
Lineage: Eukaryota; Metazoa; Chordata; Amphibia; Anura; Pelobatidae
Source: the annotation of a GenBank genome assembly
UGCAUGGAGAAAAGGCCUACACAAGCCUCUGCUAAUGUGUACAUAGUUUAUACUAAGUGACCCAUAGGUUGAGGAGGCGGUGACCGUGGCAGUGGUGGAGGAGGAUGAGGUAGCCAACACUGUUUUUUAUGUAUUUUUUUUUUUUUAUUGUGGUAGCCCACAAAAUAUUGGGACAUAUAAUUAAAGACAACUCUGACGCGCAGAGUAGCUGUUGACAUUAUAGUUGCGCAGGCACUUUGUUGACUUUAGAGAACCUCGAGCCAAUCGUACAUCCCCGUGGAGGCGACUUUGCAUGCAGAUGUCAUCCAUAUCAACGUUUGAUGCCAGUUUCUGCGCCUACCAUGGUGACCACGGGUAACGGGGAAUCCAUUCCGCACAGGGACCCUGAGAAACGGCUACUACAUGCAAGGAAGGCAGCAGGCACACAAAUGACCCACUCCCGGCGCGGGAAGCUGUAGUGACAACAAAUAACAAUACAGGACUCUUUAGAGGCCUUGUAAUUGUAAUGAGUCCACUUGCAAUCCUUUAACUCUGAUCAAUUGGAGGGAAGUCUGGUGCAGAGCCACUGACCUGUGCGUACUGCAGCUGAAACUCCACU